GGGCCCGCACAAGCGGUGGAGCAUGUGGUUUAAUUCGAUGCAACGCGAAGAACCUUACCUACCCUUGACAUACAGCGAACCCUAAAGAGAUUUGGGGGUGCCGAAAGGAGCGCUGAUACAGGUGCUGCAUGGCUGUCGUCAGCUCGUGUCGUGAGAUGUUGGGUUAAGUCCCGUAACGAGCGCAACCCUUAUUCUUAGUUACCAGCGGGUCAAGCCGGGGACAUUAAGAAGACUGCCGGUGACAAACCGGAGGAAGGCGGGGACGACGUCAAGUCAUCAUGGCCCUUAUGGGUAGGGCUACACACGUGCUACAAUGGUUGGUACAGAGGGAAGCAAAGCGGCGACGUGGAGCAAAUCUCAGAAAGCCAAUCGUAGUCCGGAUUGAAGUCUGCAACUCGACUUCAUG
Molecule: ribosomal RNA, 406 nt
Filed under: uncultured bacterium
Lineage: Bacteria
Description: bacterial SSU rRNA
Rfam family: Bacterial small subunit ribosomal RNA
Source: RNAcentral